Oncorhynchus keta (chum salmon) is the source of this 4889-nucleotide long non-coding RNA. RefSeq lists it as uncharacterized. The record is from RefSeq and is a predicted model, not a curated record. Lineage: Eukaryota; Metazoa; Chordata; Actinopteri; Salmoniformes; Salmonidae. The transcript is spliced from 2 exons.
UGGGGUCGAGAUGGGGGGGUCGAGGUUGGGAUCGAACGAUAGGAGUAGGUUUUUUAAAUGACCAAACUCUUGCUGAAGCAAGGCCCUGUAUUCAUACAAUACUCUAAAUGCACAGUUUGCUUUAGUUUUGUUUUGUAUUUGAUCAAGUUUCACUUGAUUUUGCACUUAUUGUUUUCAUUCCAUAUUCCUAUUGGCACACACAGUAUUGGACUAACUUUGAUUGGCUGAAACAGGUGUCAUUCACACAGAAAUCACACUCUUUCUCCAUAAUCUGCAUAGUAACAGUUAGAGACCGCCGCCACACACUGAACACACUAUAACAGGCUUUCAUAUGUUAUACAGUUAAAAAAACAAUUAUCAGUAAAUAUAACUGUUGAACUUCAACCCUCUGGAGGCAUUGUAUUUCAAGGCUGGGGGGGUCACCAAGGCCACGGACAUCAUUCCACAUCUCUCCCUCCAGCCCCGUAGCGGAUCACAAACAGAACAGGACCACAGGAAACACAGGAGUGGUUCUAUCCUUGUCCCCUAAACACAGGGUAGCCUAGUGGUUAGAGUGUUGGACUUGUAUCCUUGUCCCCUAAACACAGGGUAGCCUAGUGGUUAGAGUGUUGGACUUGUAUCCUUGUCGCCUAAACACAGGGUAGCCUAGUGGUUAGAGUGUUGGACUUGUAUCCUUGUCCCCUAAACACAGAGUAGCCUAGUGGUUAGUGUUGGACUUGUAUCCUUGUCCCCUAAACACAGGGUAGCCUAGUGGUUAGAGUGUUGGACUUGUAUCAUUGUCCCCUAGACACAGGGUAGCCUAGUGGUUAGAGUGUUGGACUUGUAUCCUUGUCCCCUAAACACAGGGUAGCCUAGUGGUUAGAGUGUUGGACUUGUAUCCUUGUCCCCUAAACACAGGGUAGCCUAGUGGUUAGAGUGUUGGACUUGUAUCCUUGUCCCCUAAACACAGGGUAGCCUAGUGGUUAGAGUGUUGGACUUGUACCCUUGUCCCCUAAACACAGGGUAGCCUAGUGGUUAGAGUGUUGGACUUGUAUCAUUGUCCCCUAAACACAGGGUAGCCUAGUGGUUAGAGUGUUGGACUUGUAUCCUUGUCCCCUAAACACAGGGUAGCCUAGUGGUUAGAGUGUUGGACUUGUAUCCUUGUCCCCUAAACACAGGGUAGCCUAGUGGUCAGAGUGUUGGACUUGUAUCCUUGUCCCCUAAACACAGGGUAGCCUAGUGGUUAGAGUGUUGGACUUGUAUCCUUGUCCCCUAGACACAGGGUAGCCUAGUGGUUAGAGUGUUGGACUUGUAUCCUUGUCCCCUAAACACAGGGUAGCCUAGUGGUUAGAGUGUUGGACUUGUAUCCUUGUCGCCUAAACACAGGGUAGCCUAGUGGUUAGAGUGUUGGACUUGUAUCCUUGUCCCCUAAACACAGAGUAGCCUAGUGGUUAGUGUUGGACUUGUAUCCUUGUCCCCUAAACACAGGGUAGCCUAGUGGUUAGAGUGUUGGACUUGUAUCCUGGUCCCCUAAACACAGGGUAGCCUAGUGGUUAGAGUGUUGGACUUGUAUCCUUGUCCCCUAAACACAGAGUAGCCUAGUGGUUAGAGUGUUGGACUUGUAUCCUUGUCCCCUAAACACAGGGUAGCCUAGUGGUUAGAGUGUUGGACUUGUAUCCUUGUCCCCUAAACACAGGGUAGCCUAGUGGUUAGAGUGUUGGACUUGUAUCCUUGUCCCCUAAACACAGGGUAGCCUAGUGGUUAGAGUGUUGGACUUGUAUCCUUGUCCCCUAAACACAGGGUAGCCUAGUGGUUAGAGUGUUGGACUUGUAUCCUUGUCCCCUAAACACAGGGUAGCCUAGUGGUUAGAGUGUUGGACUUGUAUCCUUGUCCCCUAAACACAGGGUAGCCUAGUGGUUAGAGUGUUGGACUUGUAUCCUUGUCCCCUAAACACAGAGUAGCCUAGUGGUUAGAGUGUUGGACUUGUAUCCUUGUCCCCUAAACCACAGGGUAGCCUAGUGGUCAGAGUGUUGGACUUGUAUCCUUGUCCCCUAAACACAGAGUAGCCUAGUGGUUAGAGUGUUGGACUUGUAUCCUUGUCCCCUAAACACAGGGUAGCCUAGUGGUUAGAGUGUUGGACUUGUAUCCUUGUCCCCUAAACACAGGGUAGCCUAGUGGUUAGAGUGUUGGACUUGUAUCCUUGUCCCCUAAACCACAGGGUAGCCUAGUGGUUAGAGUGUUGGACUUGUAUCCUUGUCCCCUAAACACAUAGGACUCGCUGCAUCUGCAGAUUACUGACGAGUCACAUGUGGGCUGUAUUCAUUAAUUAGACACCAAAACAGAAAAAAAAGGGUGUGAAACAAGAAGGGACUACCUGAGCUUGUCCAAUUUGUUUUCCUUUUGCACAGCGUUUUGCUACGGUGUACCCUAAUGAAUACAGCCCUGAUGAACCUCUGACUGACCGGGACAGCUGGUAUUAUGGUGGCUUGGCACCUUGGGUAAAGCAGGAAUAACCUUCUCACUGUCACGCCUGUGCCUCAAAUGGCAUCCUAUUCACUACGUGUAAACACAUUUCGCUGGGUGUGUUUUUUUUCUUUUCUUUCUUCCUUGUCUCACAACGAGUGUUGUUGUCACAACAAGAAAAAGGUGAAAUGAGAGAAGAAGAAAAGGAAAACGUUCAAAUGCUACCGAACUUUUAGAAAUCAUCGGUAUAUCAACAACACACUAUAGGGAUAGGGUGGUAUUUCAGAUGUUGCCCCUGUAGGGAUCAGUCUCAGUACCCCCUCCCUUCCUCUGUGAGUCCAACCUGCCCAUCAACACAGGAUGGCCAUGUCCCAAAUAUUAGUUCUUCAUGUAUUUUAAAAAUACUUUGGGGCGGCCAGGUAGUCUAGUGGUUAGAGUGUAGAGGAGGCAGGGUGGCCUAGUGGUUAGAGUGUAGAGGGGGGCAGGGUAGCCUAGUGGUUAGAGUGUAGAGGAUGGCAGGGUAGCCUAAUGGUUAGAGUGUAGAGGAGGCAGGGUAGCGUAGUGGUUAGAGUGUAGAGGGGGCAGGUAGCCUAGUGGUUAGAGUGUAGAGGGUGGCAGGGUAGCCUAGUGGUUAGAGUGUAGAGGGUGGCAGGGUAGCCUAGUGGUUAGAGUGUAGAGGGUGGCAGGGUAGCCUAGUGGUUAGAGUGUAGAGGGGGCAGGUAGCCUAGUGGUUAGAGUGUAGAGGGGGCAGGGUAGCCUAGUGGUUAGAGUGUAGAGGGGGGCAGGGUAGCCUAGUGGUUAGAGUGUAGAGGGUGGCAGGGUAGCCUAGUGGUUAGAGUGUAGAGGGUGGCAGGGUAGCCUAGUGGUUAGAGUGUAGAGGGGGGCAGGGUAGCCUAGUGGUUAGAGUGUAGGGGCUGCAGGGUAGCCUAGUGGUUAGAGUGUAGAGGUGGCAGGGUAGCCUAGUGGUUAGAGUGUAGAGGUGGCAGGGUAGCCUAGUGGUUAGAGUGUAGAGGGUGGCAGGGUAGCCUAGUGGUUAGAGUGUAGAGGGGGCAGGUAGCCUAGUGGUUAGAGUGUAGGGGCUGCAGGGUAGCCUAGUGGUUAGAGUGUAGAGGUGGCAGGGUAGCCUAGUGGUUAGAGUGUAGAGGGUGGCAGGGUAGCCUAGUGGUUAGAGUGUAGAGGGUGGCAGGGUAGCCUAGUGGUUAGAGUGUAGGGGCUGCAGGGUAGCCUAGUGGUUAGAGUGUAGAGGUGGCAGGGUAGCCUAGUGGUUAGAGUGUAGGGGCUGCAGGGUAGCCUAGUGGUUAGAGUGUAGAGGUGGCAGGGUAGCCUAGUGGUUAGAGUGUAGAGGGUGGCAGGGUAGCCUAGUGGUUAGAGUGUAGGGGCUGCAGGGUAGCCUAGUGGUUAGAGUGUAGAGGGUGGCAGGGUAGCCUAGUGGUUAGAGUGUAGAGGGUGGCAGGGUAGCCUAGUGGUUAGAGUGUAGGGGCUGCAGGGUAGCCUAGUGGUUAGAGUGUAGGGGCUGCAGGGUAGCCUAGUGGUUAGAGUGUAGGGGCUGCAGGGUAGCCUAGUGGUUAGAGUGUAGAGGGUGGCAGGGUAGCCUAGUGGUUAGAGUGUAGAGGGUGGCAGGGUAGCCUAGUGGUUAGAGUGUAGGGACUGCAGGGUAGCCUAGUGGUUAGAGUGUAGAGGGUGGCAGGGUAGCCUAGUGGUUAGAGUGUAGAGGGGGCAGGUAGCCUAGUGGUUAGAGUGUUAGACUAGUAACCAGCAGGUAGCCUAGUGAUUAGAGCGUUAGACUAGUAACCAGCAGGUAGCCUAGUGAUUAGAGGCAGGUAGCCUAGUGAUUAGAGUGUUAGACUAGUAACCAGCAGGUAGCCUAGUGGUUAGAGUGUUGGACUAGUAACCAGCAGGUAGCCUAGUGGUUAGGGUGUUAGACUAGUAACCAGCAGGUAGCCUAGUGAUUAGAGCGUUAGACUAGUAACCAGCAGGUAGCCUAGUGAUUAGAGGCAGGUAGCCUAGUGAUUAGAGUGUUAGACUAGUAACCAGCAGGUAGCCUAGUGAUUAGAGGCAGGUAGCCUAGUGAUUAGAGUGUUAGACUAGUAACCAGCAGGUAGCCUAGUGGUUAGAGUGUUGGACUAGUAACCAAAAGGUUGCUAGAUCAAAUCUCUGAGCUGACAAGGUGAAAACCUGUCAUUCUGCCCCUUGAACAAGGCUGUUAACCCCACUGUUACUAGGCCGUCAUUGUAAUUAAAAAUGUGUUUUUAACUGUUACAUUUAAAAAAAGAAGAGGGGGAGAUUUCUUGAGUUUGGAAAAAAAAAGGCAAAAAAUGUAUUGAUAAUAUGACUAACAACAAAAUGUGUGUAUCAACAAUAUGUCUCAUGUACCCCUCCUUUAAUUCUGGGUUAUUUAAAUCAUUCAACCCAAAACAAAAUAAAGGUGAUGACACUAAUUAUAUCAA